RNAcentral lists this long non-coding RNA (667 nucleotides) under Homo sapiens (human). Its description in RNAcentral is "HSALNT0124616". The record is from RNAcentral. Lineage: Eukaryota; Metazoa; Chordata; Mammalia; Primates; Hominidae.
CUAAUAAACCCUGAAUGUGCAACAAGGACCACAGGAACCAGCCACGGGAGAGUAGACAGUCACCAAGGUCAGGGUCACGUCAGGACAGCCCUGCACGUGUGCGGCCUGAGUGUUCCCACUCUCCGGGUUCACAGUGCAACAGACAGUGCCAGCUCACCACAGCCUUGUUUCCCCCAACUGACCAAGACUGGUCAGAAUGUGUCAGAUUUUGCAUGAAAGACGCAACGUAUUUGCUGUAAAAUUUUAGGAAUUACUAGAAAACAGGGAAGCCCCAAAAGGUAACACAAUCAAGGCAAGGCAAAGGUUGAAGAGAGUACUGAAAAAUCUUUUCAAACUGUUUAGAGAGGCUAUAUCUGCCCAGCUGUAGUCCUAGCAGCACGAAUGAAGAGUCUACUUCAUGUUUUUCCCACCCAUCAGGCAUUGGGAGUAGGAGAGAAUGGAUCCUGGGGGGAGAUGGUAGCAGGUUGGAGUGGCUGUGAGCCCGAGAGGCAGGAAAUAAGCCAGACUGAAACCCAUAUGCCUCUGUCAGAACUUCAAAGACUGAACCAAUGGCAGAGGCUCCACCACCGGUGCAUCUGUAAAGGCCUGGAGUGGGCUCAGGCAGUGAGAAACUGGAAAUGGAGCCUGGGCCCUUAGAGACCAGAGCAUCUCUCAUACAAGGGCUACA